GAAAAUAACUAUGAUUCCCUUAGUAACGGCGAGUGAACAGGGAAAAGCCCAAAUUUGUAAUCUGGCACUUUUUACGAGUGUCCGAGUUGUAAUUUGUAGAAUCGUUAUCCGCGCUGGACCAUGUACAAGUCUGUUGAAAAGCAGCAUCAUUGAAGGUGAAAAUCCUGUAGAUGAUAUGGACUACCAGUGCAUUUGUGAUACGGUUUCUAAGAGUCGAGUUGUUUGGGAAUGCAGCUCAAAGUGGGUGGUAAAUUCCAUCUAAGGCUAAAUAUAAGUGAGAGACCGAUAGCAAACAAGUACCGUGAGGGAAAGAUGAAAAGAACUUUGAAAAUAGAGUUAACAGUACGUGAAAUUGCUGAAAGGGAAACGUUUGAAGUUAGUAUUGUAUUCGUUGGAUCAGCUUCGCAAGGAGUGUAUUCUGAUGAUAAGCAAGUCAACAUCAAUCUUUGGGUGUUGGAUAAGGGUUUUGAGGACGUAGCAAUUUAAUUGUGUUAUAACUUGAGACUUGGAUACAAUGCUUGGGAUUGAGGAACGCGUAGUAAGCUUUGAGCGGAUCAGCAAUGAUCUCCUUACUAUGGAUGUUGGUGAAAUAACUUUAAGC
Molecule: ribosomal RNA, 601 nt
Filed under: Melampsora sp. TSH-R20046
Lineage: Eukaryota; Fungi; Basidiomycota; Pucciniomycetes; Pucciniales; Melampsoraceae
Description: eukaryotic LSU rRNA
Rfam family: Eukaryotic large subunit ribosomal RNA
Source: RNAcentral